AGAGAGAGACAUGCGCGCAUAUCAAUAAGCGGAGGAAAAGAAACUAACAAGGAUUCCCUUAGUAACGGCGAGUGAGGCGGGAAGAGCUCAAAUUUGAAAUCUUCAAGGUUUUACCUUGACGAAUUGUAGUUUAAAGAAGUGUUUUCUGCUGAAGUUUUGGUAAAAGUUCUUUGGAAUAGGACAUCAUAGAGGGUGAGAAUCCCGUAUUUGACCAUUAUUUUCAGCUUUGUGAUACACUUUCAAAGAGGUCGGAUUGUUUGGGAAUGCAGUCCAAAAUGGGUGGUAAAUUUCAUCUAAAGCUAAAUAUUGGCGAGAGACCGAUAGCGAACAAGUACCGUGAGGGAAAGAUGAAAAGAACUUUGAAAAGAGAGUUAAACAGUACGUGAAAUUGUCAAAAGGGAAGCGUUUGACACCAGUGUUGUUUUCAUCGAAAAUCAAUUAAAAAUGGCUCGAUUUUGUAUUGCUUGAGACCUUAAAAGCUCACUGUACAUUUUUCGUGUCUUUUUUAAUGCACUUUUCGUUUAACAAGUCAACAUCAGUUUCUUUUGUUGUAAAAGGGUCAUUGGAAGGUGGCUUUCUUUUCGGAGAAAGUGUUUAUAGCCUUUGGCCUCUGCAAUCGGAGAGACUGAGGUCUGCAGCGUAGACUCUUCGGGGUUAGAUACAUUUGUGCUAAGUCAUAGCUUUUUAUAGACAACUUGUUGACUAUAAUUAGUCUUGUAGCUUACUCGCUUAUGCUAUUUUACCUACGCUUAGGAUGUUGAGUCGUAGAGCACGCA
This 776-nucleotide ribosomal RNA is filed under the name uncultured Neocallimastigales. RNAcentral's name for it is "partial large subunit ribosomal RNA". It matches the Rfam family "Eukaryotic large subunit ribosomal RNA", at positions 23 to 633 of the family's 3401-position model. The record is from RNAcentral. Lineage: Eukaryota; Fungi; Neocallimastigomycota; Neocallimastigomycetes; Neocallimastigales.